RNAcentral lists this ribosomal RNA (167 nucleotides) under uncultured Eubacteriales bacterium. Its description in RNAcentral is "uncultured Clostridiales bacterium partial 16S ribosomal RNA". It matches the Rfam family "Bacterial small subunit ribosomal RNA", at positions 342 to 526 of the family's 1533-position model. Lineage: Bacteria; Bacillati; Bacillota; Clostridia; Eubacteriales. The record is from RNAcentral.
CGGGAGGCAGCAGUGGGGAAUAUUGGACAAUGGGGGAAACCCUGAUCCAGCGACGCCGCGUGGGUGAAGAAGUAUUUCGGUAUGUAAAGCUCUAUCAGCAGGGAAGAAAAUGACGGUACUAGAGGAGGAAGCCACGGCUAACUACGUGCCAGCAGCCGCGGUAAUAC